RNAcentral lists this ribosomal RNA (344 nucleotides) under uncultured bacterium. RNAcentral describes it as "bacterial SSU rRNA". It matches the Rfam family "Bacterial small subunit ribosomal RNA", at positions 28 to 365 of the family's 1533-position model. The record is from RNAcentral.
GAUGAACGCUAGCUACAGGCUUAACACAUGCAAGUCGAGGGGCAGCGCAGUGUAGCAAUACAUGGGCGGCGACCGGCGCACGGGUGCGUAACGCGUAUCCAACCUUCCCGUUACUCAGGGAUAGCCUUCCGAAAGGGGAGAUUAAUACCCUGAUGGUGUUCAAAUUCCGCAUGUUAUUUGAACUAAAGAUUCAUCGGUAACGGAUGGGGAUGCGUGACAUUAGAUAGUAGGCGGGGUAACGGCCCACCUAGUCUAUGAUGUCUAGGGGUUCUGAGAGGAAGGUCCCCCACACUGGAACUGAGACACGGUCCAGACUCCUACGGGAGGCAGCAGUGAGGAAUAUU